Molecule: long non-coding RNA, 1129 nt
Organism: Cyanistes caeruleus (blue tit)
Lineage: Eukaryota; Metazoa; Chordata; Aves; Passeriformes; Paridae
Source: Ensembl
AUUUUAUAUUCUCUGAGGAAUGGUAGAAUUUCAAGACUCACUGGCUAUACCUCUUUUUGGAGAUCUCCAGCAGAAAUUUCUCUUCUAAAAUCUACUCCAUAAAAUGCUCAGCUGUAUCAAAAUAAUAGAUGAGACCAUAUCAAGCUCUAUUUUGUGGUCAAGAUGUGCACACCUACAAUACUCAUGACAUGCAAACAUUUUAGUCUUUCCUGUCAGAAUGAAGUAAUUUGAAAAACAUGAGCUAAUUUAGCUGGGCUUUCGACAGCUGUGGAUGAGAACUAAUUUCUGGUCAGGAUUUGAAAUCAUGCCAGCAGGAGCUUACUCUUAAACAGAUGCUCCGGAAUUCUAUUUGGAAGGUCACAUAUCUCAUGUCAUCAUUUGAUGGGUACCUGGUCAGAAGUCUCUUCCCUUCCUGCUACAGCUGACCCUGUGAAACAGCAAACGUGUUUUCUGAUCUGGUGUGCUCUAUGAAUCAUUUCUCUAAAAGGUUAUUUACAGAAAAGUCAGGGUCCAUUUUCUUAACUCUAAAAACAUGGAGGUUAAACCAAAUCCUGUUUGUUAAAAAUCCUACAACUCUCAGUGUUGUACAAUUCUGAUUUUUUAAAAUAACUUCAAAAUUUAAAAAUAAUUUUACAAAUAAAAAAAUAAAAAGCCCCAAACCUACAAGGGAUUCUUCUUUAUCAAUCCUUUGGUUUUGAAAAAAUAUAUAUAUAUAAAAAUUUAGAGAUUGUAUUUUUCCCUAGUGAGCAUAAAAAUGAGACAGCCCAGAAAUAUAUAGGCAGAAGAAUGGAACACACCUUGUCUAGAUUCUUUUUGUGUCUCUUAAGACUCCAUGAACACCAGGUUUCAUUGCAAGGUUUUCCCUCAGGAAACAUCAAGGUUUAUGCCAGAGACUUCUAUCCCCCAAGAGUUUCAGCCGUACCUGUCUUCAAGCAAGGUUGGUUUGACAUGGUAUCCAUUGCCUGAGCAAGGAAGGAAGGUCUACUUAGGCACCAACAUGUUUGGAGCUAAGAAUGUUUCCACUUUGGAGUAAAUAGUUUCCACUGGACAUCACUUCUCUUGCAGUCAAAAAAACAAACCACAUCCAAAAAUAUCCUAAAAACCAAAAUAAAUCCACCUUCAAUCUGCA